GUACUAUCAGGCUCCCACCUGGAGAGUUUCCAGUACUCUACCAGUCUCGGCUAUGGGAGGGAGAGUCAAGCAGAGGCCUGUCCAUUCCAUUCCUAGCUUGAUCAGUGGCUAGGGAGUGGAGGGCAAUCUGCUACAAGG
RNAcentral lists this small nucleolar RNA (138 nucleotides) under Ornithorhynchus anatinus (platypus). Lineage: Eukaryota; Metazoa; Chordata; Mammalia; Monotremata; Ornithorhynchidae. The record is from RNAcentral.